GUGCUCGCUUGGGCAGCACAUACACUAAAAAUCUGAACCGUACAGAGGAGUUUAGCAAGGCCCCUGCGCUAGGAAGACAGGCCAAUUCGUGAAAAGCGUUCCAUAUAG
Zalophus californianus (California sea lion) is the source of this 108-nucleotide small nuclear RNA. The record is from Ensembl. Lineage: Eukaryota; Metazoa; Chordata; Mammalia; Carnivora; Otariidae.